This 72-nucleotide transfer RNA is filed under the name Jenkinsia sp. CL54. Its description in RNAcentral is "tRNA-Leu (CUN)". The record is from RNAcentral. Lineage: Eukaryota; Metazoa; Chordata; Actinopteri; Clupeiformes; Clupeidae.
GCCCCGGAAGGAUAACACCCAUCCCUUGGUCUUAGGAACCAACAACUCUUGGUGCAAGUACAAGCCGAGGCU